Molecule: ribosomal RNA, 253 nt
Filed under: uncultured bacterium
Lineage: Bacteria
Description: partial 16S ribosomal RNA
Rfam family: Bacterial small subunit ribosomal RNA
Source: RNAcentral
UACAGAGGUCCCAAGCGUUGUUCGGAUUCACUGGGCGUAAAGGGUGCGUAGGUGGUCGGGUAAGUCUGGCGUGAAAUCUCCGAGCUCAACUCGGAAACUGCGCUGGAUACUAUUCGACUCGAGGAAUGGAGGGGAGACUGGAAUACUUGGUGUAGCAGUGAAAUGCGUAGAUAUCAAGUGGAACACCAGUGGCGAAGGCGAGUCUCUAGACAUUUCCUGACACUGAGGCACGAAAGCCAGGGGAGCAAACGGG